UGGAGAAUUGGACAAGUAGCAAGUACAGCGAUAGUGCAGUCGAGCGGAUUCUUUGAAGCUUGCUUUAAAGAAAUUAGCGGCGGACGGGUGAGUAACACGUGGGCAACCUGCCUGUAAGACUGGGAUAACUUCGGGAAACCGGAGCUAAUACCGGAUAAUAUAAAAGACCUCCUGGUCUUCUAUUGAAAGUUGGUUUCGGCUAACACUUACAGAUGGGCCCGCGGCGCAUUAGCUAGUUGGUGAGGUAAUGGCUCACCAAGGCGACGAUGCGUAGCCGACCUGAGAGGGUGAUCGGCCACACGGGGACUGAGACACGGCCCAAACUCCUACGGGAGGCAGCAGUAGGGAAUCUUCCACAAUGGACGAAAGUCGGAUGGAGCAACGCCCCGUGAGCGAAAAAGGCCUUCGGGUCGUAAAGCUCUGUUUUUUAGGGAAGAC
RNAcentral lists this ribosomal RNA (438 nucleotides) under Sutcliffiella cohnii. RNAcentral's name for it is "bacterial SSU rRNA". It matches the Rfam family "Bacterial small subunit ribosomal RNA", at positions 39 to 449 of the family's 1533-position model. The record is from RNAcentral. Lineage: Bacteria; Bacillati; Bacillota; Bacilli; Caryophanales; Bacillaceae.